Molecule: ribosomal RNA, 547 nt
Filed under: Halomicrobium sp. AJ112
Lineage: Archaea; Methanobacteriati; Methanobacteriota; Halobacteria; Halobacteriales; Haloarculaceae
Description: bacterial SSU rRNA
Rfam family: Archaeal small subunit ribosomal RNA
Source: RNAcentral
UACGGGGAGGNCAGCAGGCGCGAAACCUUUACACUGCACGACAGUGCGAUAGGGGGACUCCGAGUGCGGGGGCUUAUUAGCCUCCGCUUUUCUCGACCCUAAGGUGGUCGAAGAAUAAGGACUGGGCAAGACCGGUGCCAGCCGCCGCGGUAAUACCGGCAGUCCGAGUGAUGGCCGCUAUUAUUGGGCCUAAAGCGUCCGUAGCUUGCCGUGAAAGUCUAUCGGGAAAUCGACGUGCCCAACACGUCGGCUUCCGGUGGAAACUGUUCGGCUUGGGGCCGGAAGACUCAGCGGGUACGUCUGGGGUAGGAGUGAAAUCCUGUAAUCCUGGACGGACCACCAAUGGCGAAAGCACGCUGAGAAGCCGGACCCGACAGUGAGGGACGAAAGCCAGGGUCUCGAACCGGAUUAGAUACCCGGGUAGUCCUGGCCGUAAACGAUGCUCGUUAGGUCUGCCGUGCACUACGAGUGCACGGUGAGCCGAAGUGAAGACGAUAAACGAGCCGCCUGGGAAGUACGUCCGCAAGGAUGAAACUUAAAGGANNUG